GACUUCCACGAAAAAUUAUGCGCAACAUAAAAUGGGCAGGAGGGAGUAGUAGAGUUCAAACAUUCCAACGUCCAACCAUAAUGGAAUGGGGAAUGUCCUUCCUCGCCUCCUCGAGCAACAUGUAUGAUGUAUGCACAGUAACCAAUGCAAAAAUACAUAUAACACAUCUUGAUAUUGCUUAGAAGCAUUUAUUAGAUAAACUUAUGUAUGAAGGAUAGUAUAUUAUCCCUGUCACCUUUUAAUGUCAUGUUAUCCAUGUACUAAUUCCUUAAUCUAUCUUCCAUGAGUCCAUGACACAUCCUUCUAAUCUGUUUUUCUUUGUGCAUGUGUUUGUGUGCGCCAAAAUCAGGGCUCCUAACUAGCAAUCAUGGGAUUGCAAUGUUCUCUUCUACAUCUCUUUUAUCUCUCUUAACAAAAUUCUAAAUGAGUAGCACAGCUAGAAAGCAAACCUGGGAUUGCAAAGAUUUAUAUGCCGAGGCCAAGCACAAAUUGCAUUAGCACCAUUUUGUUGGUUCUGGAUAGAAACAAUGAUCAAGGAUGGCAAGAACAAGAUCGGGUAUAAACUCAUGGUUUCUUCAUUCACUGCCGAAAUAUUGUUGUUAAAUGGUCUAGGUUGACAGUCCGAACAACUAUAGAUUCUACUAGAGGGAUGGAGGCGGUGACUGACCUGAAUCUUAUUGUCAAUUAGUGGCCUUUUCAUUUUAAAUAUGCUUCCUGUCAUUUUUUUCUCAUUGCAUAAAUUUACUUAUUAAUGUUUUUACAUGCUUGAAGAUUGGUGGAUAGAUGGUGACAUCGAAAAUGCAUCUUUAGUUCAUCAGGUGGAGAAGACAUUAAUUCCUAUAAAAAUAUGGAAAAAAGUAAACCACAAGGCAAAUGUCUUCUUCUCUAUUUCUUAGUAUUGGUUUACUUCAGACCAAACAAGUGUAAUGUAGCUUAAUUUCUUUUCAGACUUCACACACACCUCAUUUUCUAUUCUAAAUCUGUUAGUGAGCAUAUGCAUAUACUAAAGGUGGCGAAUGCCUUCUCAGGGGAAAUAAGAAACUGCAGUUGAAUGCUGACUUAGCGUGACUGGCUUCAUGAGUUCUUGUAUUAUAUUAGGGACUUGUAUCCACUGGAGUUUGUGCAAUGUCAUUCUGCUUUUUAAUUCUCAACUUCCUUUUUCACCUUGAGUUUUUAAAGAUAUUUUCUUCAUGUUUGGUUAAUCAUGUUGUAUAUAGCAUUACUAAAAAGAUAAAUGUAUGAUCAUUGCUGAUCACUUUCAUGGCACAGUAAGCCUCCAUAUGUCAAGCUCCAAAAAGUAGCAUGUACUAUCAUUGUGUUUAUCUCAUUGCAGGAUUGGACUGCAUAGCGUGCUAUAUAUACAAUCAGCAAUUACUCUGCUUAAUACUGAUGUGUUCCAGUGGAGUGUCAAUAGCAUCUCUCUGGUGUGCUUUCUGGUUAAGAUUUAGUAGCCAUUGACAUGAGAAUUAGUAUAAAUGCUUAGUUACACUACGUGUAUUUCCUGCUGCUUCAUCCUGUUCUGAAUUUGGGGCAUCCAUCUGGUUGUUUCUGUUUUUGAAAUGACAGACAUCCAACUA
Lolium rigidum is the source of this 1577-nucleotide long non-coding RNA. RefSeq lists it as uncharacterized. The record is from RefSeq and is a predicted model, not a curated record. The transcript has 2 exons. Lineage: Eukaryota; Viridiplantae; Streptophyta; Magnoliopsida; Poales; Poaceae.